AAAGGUGAAGGAGCAGUGUGACCAUCGUUUCCAAUCUUCCUGUUGUCAUUUAUGCCAUCGUGGAAAGAAGGGCUCUAGAGUUCAGAUGGGAGAAAGCAAGCAGUACCUUGGGGAAUAGCUGAUAUUUAAUUGAUUUUGUUGCUUUGCUAAAUUGAUUGUUUUCUUGCUAAGGAAAUGAACAACUGUGCACCAUUCUUUAUUGUUAUCAGCUGAUUGUACUUGUUUUACUGCAUAUUGUGCAGUAGAAUGAAUCUGACCUAAAAUGAAUGCAAACAUUGAAUGCACACACUCACAAUGCAGUGUGCACAAAAGCCUAUGAGAAUUUGCAGAUAACUUGGUCUAGACAAGCAGUUUUUAAGCCAUCAUAAGAUAUGGGGGUUCAACCUCAUGAAAUUAUGCAUGGAACAGACUGGAUUUGUUGGAGAGCAAAGCUGGCAUCUGUGUAGUGGAUAGAUGUAAGCUGGUACCAUGAUCAGUGGAGGCAGAUACUGGUGGCACUGGGGUAGGCAAGCAGCUUGAGGGACAUUCAGGGGGAUUUUCAAGGGACAGCAGGGAUUUUUCAAUGUAAGUAGAGUACGAUUCAUUAACCAGAACAAAACCAAGGAAAGUUUCAGUGCCACAUGUGGGGAAUGAGACUGUGUAUCCCCGGGGACUGCUAUUUGAUAAUUACUAUAAAUUCAUGGGAAAGGGCUCCCUGAAAAGAUAAUGUGUGAGAGUCUGCUGGGAAUCCUAACUUUUAGGAAAUAUAAAUUUUUUUAGUAGAGGAAAGUUGUGUUUCUCAUUUUUCAGAGGGACUUUGUUCCUGUGAAAAUCGUGCUGAGACAACUGCAGUCAUCAGAGAGACAUCAUAACUUUGCUUGUUAAGGUCAUCUUCUGUUGAAAGUGUUUUGUCACGGAGUAGAGAUGGCUACUUUCACUGCCAAAAAGCCACUUAAAAAGAUUGACAAGAGAGAUUAAAGAGGAUACAGAAAUUUUGGAAGACGUUCCUUUAACCUUUUAAUAUGGUGCCAUCUUGGCAGUAGUGAGUCUAUGGCAGGAUUAGUUAGGGACCAAGCAUUUCUGGAAUUGUGUUCCUGGUUUUUUUGCCUCUUUCCAUUUGAGGUAUCAAUUAAGAGCAAUUUCACCAGGGCAGUAAAGCAAGAGAGUAAACAGUAAAUAAGCAACAAGCAAAAUUAAAAACAGUAAUGAGCCUUAUGAAUAUGGUAGUGUUAUAAGGCUUGAAAUGCAUUUAUUUUGGAGCUUAGCAUGUUCUGGGAAAACUUGAUGACUUUGUGAAUGUAUUGUCUCAUUUUACAUUGCAGAAAUUCUGUUUAUUGGCCCUGGAGGCUGACAAGGACCCGACACCUGUGCCCAAAUGUUUUCCGAACCUUGGCAGCGACAGGCACGUUCAUUAUGCAGCAGAGUUGUGGAUCCAUGUGUCCUCAAGGCAGGGGAGAGCAGCAGACUUUACCCUUGCAAGGAGAAAGAUGCUACACCCUGUUUCUCCUUGGCAUGCAAUCCUGGAGGCAGCCAAGAAGUUGAGGACCUGACAAGAGCAGGUGGAUCAGCUGGUAGAUAGAGGCACAGCCACUGCAAUGCUGGUAAGUGGCUUUUCCUGGGAGUUAGGGAGCAGGUGGAUGAAGAGGAUUAGUGGCCAAAGCUGCAAUCCAGGGCUCUGCACAGGAUCUCUGUCCUUUGGGGCUCGGGGAGGAAGGACAAAGAACAGGGACCCUGCUGAGCCAUCCCUUGCUGCGUCACUUUGUCCUCACACCCAGCAACUCGUUUGCUUCCCAGGCCCUGGGAACUGCUGCUGUGCUGCUCCUGCACUGCUGAGGGCAUCCACCAAGGCUGCUGCUGCUUGAGGAACACCUCAACCCUACUGGGAGUGUGAUGGCUGUGCUGGCCAGGGCAUGGGUGAGAGGCAGAGUACCUGGCUGCCCAGGGCUGAGACCAGGGUCCAGGCUGGGCCUGGCAGCAGGAGCUUAGACUUGGCUUGCUCAAGGAGGGCUGUGGGCACCAUGAUGACCUCUCCUGCCAUGGGCCUUGGUGGCCAUGCUGCUUCCUGCCUCUUCCUGCUGCCUCCAGUGACAAUUUAGAGCUUGUCAGCCCCAACACUGCCAGCCAGCUGGCAUCAGAGCUGUUGUGUGGCUCCCUGGUGCCUUAAAAGCAGCAGCGGCUCCUGCCACCCUGGGCCAGUCCAGGUUCAGCACCGACCAGGGAAAUAACAGCUGGCACAAAACUCAGCCAGCCUGAAAAAUGCCACAGGAUCAACCAUGUACCAGCCCAGAAUGUUGAAAGCAGCAGCCCCAGCACUGUCAGUCAGUGUCGGGGCUCUCCUGUGGCACAGUUAUACUGGGAAAGAGUUUGAAUCUUUGGUCUCGUGCUCAGCUUUCACCCACAAGCAUUCCCUGUAAUGCUUCCUGCAUCCGCUCUUGCCCCUAUAAAAUGAACAGCCAGUCUCUCUUUUAGGAGAGAAAGGCGGAAGAAUCUCCUCAGGACACACGUGCAAACACCAUGUCCCUGACAGUCCCAGCCCUGUUGGGCAGUGGUGGCUGCUGUAGCCCUGUGCUCGCUCAGUGCUUCCUGCCCAAACUCACUACAAGGGUGGCCUGCGAAUUUCUUGCUGGGUUCUGUGCUUUUGGUUUGUGUGAAGUCAAUGUGCCUGGUUGGAGUGUGGCCUCAUGCCUUAAUUUGUGAGCUCAUUUGUAUGCUCUGGGAAGAUUUUGAGCUGUUGGGCAGGUGGGACUGAGAGCAGGGAAGGCACCUGGUUUUGGAGUCUCGUGUGAUUUUGUUCGUGCAAGGACGCUGAUUCCUUUUUGGCUCAUCCCUGUUCGGUCCAGGUACAUUUGCCUCCAAGAAAGGGAGAAGGCUAAAGGCAGCAUCCAGCAAGUUUUGUCCUGGGCCUCCAUCUGUCUAAUGUUCAGCUGCUGUCGACCCUCAAGUCCUUUUCUGCCAGACAGCUUUCCAGCCUCUCUUCCCCACGACUGGAGUGUUGCCUGGGGUUGUUGUGAGUCGCGGCUGAAUGCCUGACAGGGCAGGUGCAGGAACCAGGCUUGUGCAGGUCUCUCUGUCACUGAUGGCGGGAAAGCUGAUGGGACAUUGAAUGGAUCAUUAAAUCCAAAGCUUUCACUAUUUUUCCUUGAUGAGUUGAGACCCUGUGGUCAACCAAACUACCCCAAAGUACACCUGUAGCUCAAAGUUUCUGGAACAUCUCAGUUACACAAUUUGUCUCCGAGUCCCAAUUCUCAUGCUCAUUCACUCUCUUUCCAUUCUAGCUGUUUAUUGGAGUGCUCUUACCGCAUUUUAUCUCAUCUAAUUCCCUCUCCCAGUCUCUGUAGUAAUCCAGUUUUAAUGUCCUUUUUUUCUCCACAGCAACUAGCCUGAUCUUGGCAUUAUUUCCAAACAUUUAAAGACAAAAGAGGAAGUGACCGAGCCCAUACUGAAGUUCAUGGUAGCAGGACAAAGGUGAUGCUCAUACUGGAACUGGGAAGGAUCUGCCCGGAUCCAAAGAAAAAUAAGUUUACUUAGAUGAUAAUUAAGUUUCAGAACAGGUUCAAAGUUGUGCACUCACCAGAUUUUGGACCUUUUCAAAAUCCAAGUGGACAAAGCCAUGAGAAAUCUGAUCCGAAUUCUGGGCUGACCCUGCUUUGAGCAAGAGACUGGACUAUAGAGCCAACCUGAGAGAUCCCACAACUCUCUGAGGGCAUUGCUGGACCUCUGCUCUACAGCUCUAGUGCAUAUGUGAAGAGUGAUAAAGGUGAUCAGGCUUGUGGAGCAGUUUCUGUGUGAUAAAAGAAGUUUGACAAUCUUCAGCCUGGAGUGGAAUCAACUGACGGAGAAUUUGAUAGAGAUCUACAGGACUGGGAAUGACAUGAAAAGGGUGUUAAGGAAGUUAUGGAACUCCAUUUCAGAGGUCGUUAAGGGUGCUGGAAGUUGACACAGAUUCAAAAGUGAACCAAGGAAGGAGACUCUAUUCAAAGUUAUUGAAUAAAAACGUGCCAACUCUGGGUCAGAAAAUCCCUUAGCCAUAAAUGAGUGGAAGCUGGAAAGUAUAAAUAAGGUACUGUCCAGCCUGGGCACUCGGACUCGCCUCUUGUGCCAGGUGCUUGUUCAGCUGCUUGUUCCAGCCUGUAAAAGAGCCUGAACACAAAUUGGCAGAAUCUGUGCAGCAAGGCUCUGAAAAUCAUCUCCAAUGAUCCAGAAAGCUUCAUAGCAAGCAGAAGAAGUCCUGCUCCUUGUCACUGUGAUUAUGGAGACGCAGGAAGCAGGUAUCCAUGUAUGGCACAGCCUAACGAAGUGAGUAACGAUCCCAUGCUGACUGGCAUAUCUGUCUGGAGAACAAGGAGUGUAGCAGAGCUGAUCCUGCAGCACCCCUGUUAUCUAGGGCACAGACCUUGGAUAUUCAGGGGAAACAUCCAGAGCAGGCUGCUGUGCAUGGAGCUCCUGGGGAGGAUCACCAGGAGGCUUUGAGGAAGCCUUCAGAAAUGAAGCACCAGACAUGGAGAUGUGCAGCCAGAAUGACUGUGCAAGGCAACAAGCUCAAAGCUGGGGCAUCCCUUUUGUAAAUCUUUCCACCCCAAAGGCAUCAUUUUGAGCAGUUACAUGUAUGAAGUGAGAAAAUUACAGAGAUCUAUGGAUCUACCUGCAUCCUGUCCUGGAUACUUCAAAAGCUGCAGUUAAAAGUAUAAACCAAACUUCCUCUGCACUUACAGCAGAACAUACUGGGGCAGCUGCACAACCACAGUUACAGGAGGAGGGAGAAGGUUUCUGUGGCUCUGCCAGUGGCUCAGCAGGAAUGGACUCAGCUGGAUAAUACCUUUGUCUUCUGUGGUGGUGAAUAUAAUAAAAUUGCACUGAAAGGGCAGAAGUCCUGUAGCAGCAACAUUUGGGGGACAUUGGAACUGUGACCAACCCCACUCGCUCUGUUCUCCAACGUCAGCGAAGCAACAGUACCCAAAAUAAUAUUCUCUCAGAUGACUCUGGCUUCAAGGAAUGAAGGUAGGCUGCACAUUUGAUUUUUUUUCUUUUUCCUGCAGCUGCUGUUGCAGGUUUUAAUACCAUUAGAUCCUACUGAUGGAAUGCAUUUUGUCACGGUAUAUUUUCAUUAUUUUUUGUUACCAGUGAGAGCUUUUUGAUAGAAACCCUAAAGGAGGACUCAUGUCUGUAGGGAGACUGAACACAUGGGAUCUGAAUCCUAGUUAACAGUGAAUUCUCUAUUACAAGAAGUAAAAGCUUAUGAAUAUUUUCCUUGGCUCUGAAAGUGGAAGCUGACACUAGCUCGUAUGGGAGAAUUUUAACUAAUGAUUAUUACAAUGCUUAUCUGCUAAUUUGCUUCUCCAUAUUUGGAAUCAGUAUGCUUUAUAUGCGUGUGAAAUUUUUGGAGCUCAUGCUAAAAUUUCAACUAGCCAAAUACUUAUCUGCAUUUCAUUAUUAUUGAAAUAAUUAUAGUAAUAAAUAAUAGUAGACACAAUAACUGGUUUUUUUAUUAGUUCACUGAGCUUAAGUGGAUCAUUGCAUAAGCUGAUCACAUCUUUAUUUUUUUGAUAAAUCUAGAGUAUUGUCAUUUGACACUGAAGACUUUUUAGAAAAAAAAGGCUGUGUGAGUUUAAUGCUGUGCCUUUGAAUAGUUAUCUACGUAUUUCAAAACUAAAUAAGAAAUCUCAAAAACCAUAGACACUCUGUACAUAUUGAUAAGCCAUUUGUAAUCUAUAACAGCAUGUAUACCAGGACUUGAGCUGAUUCAUUUAUCCCAGCUAAUGUAUCUGUGCAAUUUAUUGUGCCACAAGUGAUGCCAAACUUCUUGGGUGAUGUUUGGAGAAAGAACCUUCCCAGCUGUACAACAAGCAUAAGAAAGCUUUCAAAAUUGUGGGAGAAAAUGGCAAACAGGAAAUUCAUAUUGCAGGCUUGAGUGCUGAAUUUCUUAAAUUGUAAAUUAUUAUGAGAUUGGGAUACUGUUAUUUACAAAUAAACUUUGUUUUUAUCAAUUAAUA
Long non-coding RNA from Pseudopipra pipra, 5969 nucleotides. RefSeq lists it as uncharacterized. Lineage: Eukaryota; Metazoa; Chordata; Aves; Passeriformes; Pipridae. The record is from RefSeq and is a predicted model, not a curated record. The transcript has 11 exons.